This 294-nucleotide ribosomal RNA is filed under the name uncultured bacterium. RNAcentral describes it as "partial 16S ribosomal RNA". It matches the Rfam family "Bacterial small subunit ribosomal RNA", at positions 775 to 1067 of the family's 1533-position model. The record is from RNAcentral.
GGAUUAGAUACCCUGGUAGUCCACGCCGUAAACUAUGGAUGCUAGCUGUUAUGAGUAUCGACCCUCGUAGUAGCGAAGCUAACGCGUUAAGCAUCCCGCCUGUGGAGUACGAGCGCAAGCUUAAAACAUAAAGGAAUUGACGGGGACCCGCACAAGCGGUGGAGCGUGUUGUUUAAUUCGAUGCUAAGCGAAGAACCUUACCCAGGCUUGACAUCCUUGGAAUUUCUCCGAAAGGAGAGAGUGCUUUAUUGAGCCAAGUGACAGGUGCUGCAUGGCCGUCGUCAGCUCGUGCCG